Molecule: ribosomal RNA, 221 nt
Filed under: Nannizzia persicolor
Lineage: Eukaryota; Fungi; Ascomycota; Eurotiomycetes; Onygenales; Arthrodermataceae
Description: partial 28S ribosomal RNA
Rfam family: Eukaryotic large subunit ribosomal RNA
Source: RNAcentral
CCUUCACAAUCAGGUUGACCUCGGAUCAGGUCGGGAUACCCGCUGAACUUAAGCAUAUCAAUAAGCGGAGGAAAAGAAACCAACAGGGAUUGCCCCAGUAACGGCGAGUGAAGCGGCAAGAGCUCAAAUUUGAAAUCUGGCCUCCUUCGGGGGUCCGAGUUGUAAUUUGUAGAGGAUGCUUCGGGUGUGGCCGCCGUCUAAGUUCCUUGGAACAGGACGUC